Molecule: long non-coding RNA, 353 nt
Filed under: Rosa chinensis
Lineage: Eukaryota; Viridiplantae; Streptophyta; Magnoliopsida; Rosales; Rosaceae
Description: sRNA RchiOBHm_Chr4g0412061
Source: RNAcentral
GUACCCUAGGGCGACUAACAACGAAACCCUAAGGCCCAUGGAUAAAAACGAAAACAAUCCAAAAAUAACUAAGAAAACCAAAAACGGGUAAAAUAGAAAAAUGCCGUUUUGAGGCCCUAAACGAUCCCGAAAGCCCGAAAAAGGUCACACGUCGUGGCAUAGCAACGAGUUUGCUUUCUGGCGCGAUUCCCUUUCCGGAAAGCUAAAGUGCGUCCCGAUCGGACUCCGGAGGCCCAUUUCACGUCUACUAGUCCCUUUUCGGUUUCCACCCUUAGCACGAUCCAAUUGUUCUUGAAAUUGGACCGCUAUCUGUUCUACAUCAGUCUCCUCCACCUCCGAAGAACUCGACCCCG